AGAUUGGGCCUAAAUACCCUUAAGGCACCAAAUCCCAUUUGAUUUUGGAAGCUAAGCAGGGUAAAGCCUGGUUAAUACUUGGAUGGGAGAUCAUCAACAAAUCCCAGAUGCUGUGUGCU
This 119-nucleotide ribosomal RNA is filed under the name Anolis carolinensis (green anole). Lineage: Eukaryota; Metazoa; Chordata; Lepidosauria; Squamata; Anolidae. The record is from RNAcentral.